CCCAUGUGCCUCCACGUGGUUCUCCUUAUCCUUGGCAGUUCGUCCUUCGGGUUAAAAGAGGAGAAAUCACAAGUGUCAUGAUUGGAUGGGAAGGGCUUGCAGAAAUUCACCUGCUCUUUCCACAGUGCUGGUGCCGCCAAAUUCAGCAGAGCUGCCCCGCACUGAGCAUCCCAAAAGAUGUCGGGAGCAGGGUUGGAACCAAAGCUGGAAUCCCAUCUCAGCAAAUCUUAACGUGAUUUUGAGCCAAGAAGCUUGAGGAAUUUGCUUUAUACCUCUCCAAAGUGCUAAUGGGAGCCACAGAAUCCUUGCUGAGCUAUGAGAGGGACUAAAAUAAAUCUCCAUCAGGGUUUAUCCAUGAGCUGCAGAGCUCUUCAGUGAGGCCCAGAAUCAGUGUGGAAACUGCACCUUUCAGAGGCUCUGGGCAGGACAAAGGGCCUCAUCAUCUGCAGCCAUGGGAGAAACCUGGAUGGGGAUCAAAUAAUGGGAA
Cyanistes caeruleus (blue tit) is the source of this 487-nucleotide non-coding RNA. NCBI's taxonomy places the organism in Eukaryota, Metazoa, Chordata, Aves, Passeriformes, Paridae. The record is from RefSeq and is a predicted model, not a curated record.